This 461-nucleotide ribosomal RNA is filed under the name uncultured bacterium. RNAcentral describes it as "partial 16S ribosomal RNA". It matches the Rfam family "Bacterial small subunit ribosomal RNA", at positions 338 to 795 of the family's 1533-position model. The record is from RNAcentral.
CCUACCGGGAGGCUGCAGUGAGGAAUAUUGGUCAAUGGGCGGAAGCCUGAACCAGCCCAGUAGCGUGCAGGAUGACGGCCCUACGGGUUGUACACUGCUUUUAUACGGGAAUAACUCGCCUUACGUUUAGGUCUUUGCAUGUCCCUUCUGACUAAGGACCGGCUAAUUCCGUGCCAGCAGCCGCGGUAAUACGGAAGGUCCGGGCGUUAUCCGGAUUUAUUGGGUUUAAAGGAAGCGUAGGCCGCAUGUCAAGCGUUCUGUGAAAUGUCCGGGCUCAACCCGGGACUUGCAGGGCGAACUGGCGUGCUGGAGUGCGCGGAAGGCAGGCGGAAUUCGUGGUGUAGCGGUGAAAUGCUUAGAUAUGACGAAGAACCCCGAUUGCGAAGGCAGCUGGCUGCAGCGGAACUGACGCUGAUGCUCGAAAGCGCGGGUAUCGAACAGGAUUAGAUACCCCUGUAGUC